RNAcentral lists this ribosomal RNA (285 nucleotides) under Verrucaria nigrescens. RNAcentral describes it as "partial 18S small subunit ribosomal RNA". The record is from RNAcentral. Lineage: Eukaryota; Fungi; Ascomycota; Eurotiomycetes; Verrucariales; Verrucariaceae.
GAGUAAAAGUCGUAACAAGGUUUGGCCUAACGAGAUCCUUCUCGGAAGCCUUUCACACAACGACUAUAACCAUGUGUGCAGUCUAGAGAUUCUCCUUUCUAGGCGACGUCGCCCCUAUGCUGGGACCCUAUCAUUCAAUAGCGGAUCAGCAGCCAGUUCUCUGGUUCACAGAUUAGGUGGUGGCGGUCUCGGUCGGUGAGGCCGGGAUCAAGAUAUAAUCGGUCUCUAUAGCUCACGUCUAUAGUUGAGAAACGUUCCGUAGGUGAACCUGCGGAAGGAUCAUUA